RNAcentral lists this unclassified non-coding RNA (1170 nucleotides) under Hevea brasiliensis (rubber tree). Lineage: Eukaryota; Viridiplantae; Streptophyta; Magnoliopsida; Malpighiales; Euphorbiaceae. The record is from RNAcentral.
AUUUUAUACAUUAUCGAAGCAAGAAUAAUCGAAACUAAUAUACACAGCAAGCAUUGGACAGUGGACAUUAGGGCAAUUAAUAACUAAAAAAUCAUUUACUUUUGUUCCUCAUUCGCGGGCUUUUGAUUGAAGUUGUUUUUUAUUUUUUGAUAAGCGUAAUAGUGUUAAGUGGGAGACAAUAACAUAUGGGCACUGGGCUCUCAAAGACUAGCUCAAUCCGGAAAAGGAAGCAUUAACAAAAUCCUGAAACAGAGCAUAGAUUGGGACCAAAUAAUUAAAUUACCCACAGCCAUCGAUACUAAUUCCAACCCUCCCCCUUCCCUUUCCUCUUCAGCUACAUUUUUGCCUCUUAUACAUUCAGAACACAACUAUAAUAAAAAUAAAUUAAAUAGAGCGAAACUGGUAGCCAUGUACAGGAGGAACUAGUCAUGCAUAUUCUUGCUCCUCUGCAUCAGGUUGCUUCUCUGCAUCAGGUUGCUUCUUUGCAUCAGGUUCUUUUGCCUUAAAAAUAUUCCUGAAUGUCAAGAAGAUCUGAAUCGAAAUCCUCAUCAAAAGCGGCAGGGCAGCAGUAAAUAACAGGUAGCGAUACUUAACAUUCUCACGAGGAGUAACAGCGAAAACAGCAGAUCCGUAAGUAACAAUCAUUGAAAUGGUGGCAACCCAUAUCUCAAAAUGUAAUGGAAACCUGUACGUGAGAGAAACAAUUAUAAGGAUGGAGGUGGACAGCGCCAAUGUGUUGGAUAUCAGGAAAACAUAAUAAGCGUGUGGCUGAGAGGCAUAAAUUGCCCUUCCUGCGUGAUGGCCAUCAUCAUUGUCCUGCCAGACGCCUCCUGGCGGGUUCACGCCAGCUUGGAAGGUCACUGCAGCAAUUAGCGCCGCUAUCACGAGCAAAAAAUUUCGGGCAUCACUGGGCUUCUCGUUCUCCUCGUCAUAUUGGAAGUACAUGAACCAGUGGCUCCAGGUAUUUUUGGGAGGAGGACUAACCUUUCCUUCUGCAAGUGUUUUGUUUUCCAUUUUUCUCGAGUGCUUCUAUAAAACAAAAUCUGGACUCUUCGGAGCUUAUAUAAAUGAUUAGUUGAGCCGUUGAUCUGGUCAAUGGAAGUAGAUGAAAGCUAUCAUCAGCGAGAGGGAAGGGAACUUUUGAGGCUCAGGAAGCAGGUAGGAAACUCC